This 580-nucleotide ribosomal RNA is filed under the name uncultured yard-trimming-compost bacterium. RNAcentral's name for it is "bacterial SSU rRNA". It matches the Rfam family "Bacterial small subunit ribosomal RNA", at positions 29 to 643 of the family's 1533-position model. The record is from RNAcentral.
UCAACCGCUGGCGGCGCGCUUAACACAUGCAAGUCGCACGAGAAAGGGAGCAAUCCCAAGUAAAGUGGCGCACGGGUGAGUAACACGUGGAUCAUCCACCUUCUUGUGGGGAAUAACCUGGGGAAACCCGAGCUAAUACCGCAUAAGCCCGAGAGGGGAAAGCAGCAAUGCGCAGGAAGAGGAGUCCGCGGUCGAUUAGCUAGUUGGUAGGGUAAAAGCCUACCAAGGCUAUGAUCGAUAGCCGGCCUGAGAGGGCACACGGCCACACUGGCACUGAAACACGGGCCAGACUCCUACGGGAGGCAGCAGUGGGGAAUCUUGCACAAUGGGGGAAACCCUGAUGCAGCGACGCCGCGUGGGUGAUGAAGUCCUUCGGGAUGUAAAGCCCUUUCGACGGGAACGAUAAUGACGGUACCCGGAGAAGAAGCUGCGGCUAACUACGUGCCAGCAGCCGCGGUAAUACGUAGGCAGCAAGCGUUGUUCGGAGUUACUGGGCGUAAAGAGUAUGUAGGCGGUUGGGUAAGUUUGGUGUGAAAUCUCCCGGCUUAACUGGGAGGGUGCGCUAAAGACUGCCUGGCUC